UACGGAGGGUGCAAGCGUUAUCCGGAUUUAUUGGGUUUAAAGGGUGCGUAGGUGGGAUGAUAAGUCAGAGGUGAAAGCUAGCAGCUUAACUGUUAAAUUGCCUUUGAUACUGUUAUUCUUGAGUAUAGUUGGCGUUGGCGGAAUGUGACAUGUAGCGGUGAAAUGCGUAGAUAUGUCACAGAACACCGAUCGCGAAGGCAGCUAACGAAACUAUCACUGACACUGAUGCACGAAAGCGUGGGGAGCAAACAGG
This 253-nucleotide ribosomal RNA is filed under the name uncultured bacterium. RNAcentral's name for it is "partial 16S ribosomal RNA". It matches the Rfam family "Bacterial small subunit ribosomal RNA", at positions 524 to 776 of the family's 1533-position model. The record is from RNAcentral.